This 493-nucleotide long non-coding RNA is filed under the name Zonotrichia albicollis (white-throated sparrow). Its description in RNAcentral is "lncRNA (ENSZALG00000008018.1)". Lineage: Eukaryota; Metazoa; Chordata; Aves; Passeriformes; Passerellidae. The record is from RNAcentral.
GCUAAACCUGAAGAGUUUACUACACUGGGAUAAUUUGGGGACAGCCCCCCAUGGGUGUCACCCCCUGUCCCUCCCGCAGGUGUUGCAGUACAAGAAGAAAUGCGGGGAGGUGGAGCAGCAGCUGCUGGAGAAGGCGACGGAGCUGGAGCAGGAGAGGCUGACGAUCCAGCUGGAUGCCAGCGGCUCCCAGCCCGAGGAGGAGAGCAGCAACGAGCUGGAGAACGCCCUGAUCCGCCUGGAGGAGGAGCAGCAGAGGAGCAGCAGCCUGGUGCAGGUGAACUCGAUGCUGCGGGAGCAGCUGGAACAGGCCAACGUGGCCAAUGCGGCGCUGAGCGAGGACAUCAGGAAGCUCACGGCGGACUGGGCACGGGCCAGGGACGAGCUGGAGCAGCGGGAGGUGGAGUGGAGGCGGGAGGAGGAGGUGAGAGACACCCGGGAGGGGAUACCGGACACCGGGGAGCAGCAGCAGGGGGAUGAGGGGAUGUGGGAUCAU